GUUGCAGUUAAAAAGCUCGUAGUUGGAUUUCUGCGGGGGCGGGGCGGCCGGUUGCUUAUAGCAACUCGAGCUAGCACUUCCCCCGCAUCCUGCCGCGAACCGUGCUACCAUUAGUUUGGUGGCGCUGGGGAUCGGCUCGUUUACUUUGAGAAAAAUAGAGUGUUCAAAGCAGGCCACACGCCUUGAAUAAGUUAGCAUGGAAUAAUGAUAAAGGACUUCGGUUCUAUUUUGUUGGUGUUCGGGACUGAAGUAACGAUUGAUAGGGACAGUUGGGGCGGUCAGUAUUCCAAAGCGAGAGGUGAAAUUCUUAGACCUUCGGAAGACUAACAGCUGCGAAAGCGUUCCGCAAGGAUGUUCCCUUUGAUCAAGAACGAAAGUUGGGGGAUCGAAGACGAUCAGAUACCGUCGUAGUCUUAACUAUAAACUAUACCAGCUAGGGAUCGGCCGACGUUUACUUAUAUCGACUCGGUCGGCACCUUAUGAGAAAUCAAAGCAUCUGGGUUCCGGGGGGAGUAU
RNAcentral lists this ribosomal RNA (516 nucleotides) under uncultured marine eukaryote. RNAcentral's name for it is "bacterial SSU rRNA". It matches the Rfam family "Eukaryotic small subunit ribosomal RNA", at positions 612 to 1126 of the family's 1831-position model. The record is from RNAcentral.